This is a long non-coding RNA of Cryptomeria japonica (Japanese cedar), 947 nucleotides long. RefSeq lists it as uncharacterized. NCBI's taxonomy places the organism in Eukaryota, Viridiplantae, Streptophyta, Pinopsida, Cupressales, Cupressaceae. The transcript has 2 exons. The record is from RefSeq and is a predicted model, not a curated record.
CUGCAGUAGGUACUGAUAGCUGAAUUAAGAAUGGAGGGGCAUUCGGUAAUUCUUAGUUUUUUUCUAAAUCUGAUUUAUAUUAAUGUGAUUUCAGAUGAAUAAUUUAAGUAAAUCAAUCUCUAGUAGGUACUGAUAGCUGAAUUAAGAAUGGAGGGGCAUUCGUAGGGGCCCCUACUAUCCAAUAGCCUUAGCCCAUGUUGCGCUGCUAUCUCCUCUGCACCACUGCACCGGGAACCCUAUGAUGGGUGGGAGUCAAGUUCCGGCAAUAGGAUUAUCGCCAUCUCCAAAACGGCACAACUAGAAUUCUGGGCCUUGCUGCAACUAUCUCCUCCACCAUAGAAUAGUAGGGGCCUCAUCUUGCCUAAAAUAGUAGGGCAUUCAGAUGCGAGGAGGUAGAAUUGAGCCCUACAAUUCUAUGGCGGGUUACUUUUCCAGUAUCAUUGGGGGUGCCGCCUUUUGGUUGCUUGCCUUCACAAAUCACUUGGUGGAAAAUAAGUUGCUAGGUCUUUCAUUACAAAGAUCAUAGCCUUAGUAGUGAAGUCCAGGCUCAGUUUUCCCCAUCUUUUAGUUGGUUAUUUGAAUGCAUAUGAUAAGUAGUAUGACAUCAUUAAAUCUCCCUCUAAAUAUGGUAAUAUUUUAACUUCCCCUUCUACUCAACACAAUGACCCGGUCUUUUCUUAAAUGAAGAUGUUUGAAUCUUAGGAAUGUUUUGUUGCAGGAAGAGUUAUUGUGCAACCCAGAUAUCCCAACAUGUGCAGACAUUUCUAAUUAUGUCUUUUGGGAUAGCUUCGACCCCACGACUGCAGUUUACAGAAUCAUGGGCAACGAUUUAUUCUAGCAGGCUCUGAGUCUAGUAGCAUAAAUGCUAUUUGCAUUGAAGAAAAAAUCUCACUUGAAACUUAUUUGUAAUAAAUGAGCACAUGAAUGCUUUCUAUAAGCUUUUUACA